RNAcentral lists this ribosomal RNA (463 nucleotides) under uncultured bacterium. Its description in RNAcentral is "partial 16S ribosomal RNA". It matches the Rfam family "Bacterial small subunit ribosomal RNA", at positions 28 to 507 of the family's 1533-position model. The record is from RNAcentral.
GAUGAACGCUGACAGAAUGCUUAACACAUGCAAGUCUUUGGCGAAGCUGUGCUUGCACAGCCUAGCCAAGGCGGACGGGUGAGUAACGCGUAAGGAACUUGCCCUGCAGUCAGGGAUAACAGACGGAAACGACUGAUAAGACCUGGUAAAGUCAGGCGGACUCAUGUCCAGCCUGAUGAAAAGAGAUGCUGCAGGAGAGCCUUGCGUCCUAUUAGCUUGUUGGUGGGGUAACGGCCCACCAAGGCGAUGAUAGGUAGCCGGCCUGAGAGGGUGGACGGCCACAAGGGGACUGAGAGACGGCCCUGACGCCUACGGGAGGCAGCAGUGGGGAAUAUUGGACAAUGGGGGCAACCCUGAUCCAGCAAUUCUGUGUGCACGAUGAAGGUUUUCGGAUUGUAAAGUGCUUUCAGCAGGGAAGAAAAAAAUGACGGUACCUGCAGAAGAAGCGACGGCUAAAUACGUG